GAUGAACGCUGGCGGCGUGCCUAAUACAUGCAAGUCGAGCGAACAGAUAAGGAGCUUGCUCCUUUGACGUUAGCGGCGGACGGGUGAGUAACACGUGGGUAACCUAUCGAUAAGACUGGAAUAACUCCGGGAAACCGGGGCUAAUGCCGGAUAACAUGUUGAACCGCAUGGUUCUACAGUGAAAGGCGGCUUUGCUGUCACUUAUAGAUGGACCCGCGCCGUAUUAGCUAGUUGGUGAGGUAACGGCUCACCAAGGCAACGAUACGUAGCCGACCUGAGAGGGUGAUCGGCCACACUGGAACUGAGACACGGUCCAGACUCCUACGGGAGGCAGCAGUAGGGAAUCUUCCGCAAUGGGCGAAAGCCUGACGGAGCAACGCCGCGUGAGUGAUGAAGGUCUUCGGAUCGUAAAACUCUGUUAUUAGGGAAGAACAAAUGCGUAAGUAACUGUGCGCGUCUUGACGGUACCUAAUCAGAAAGCCACGGCUAACUACGUG
Molecule: ribosomal RNA, 497 nt
Filed under: uncultured bacterium
Lineage: Bacteria
Description: partial 16S ribosomal RNA
Rfam family: Bacterial small subunit ribosomal RNA
Source: RNAcentral